Molecule: ribosomal RNA, 453 nt
Filed under: uncultured bacterium
Lineage: Bacteria
Description: bacterial SSU rRNA
Rfam family: Bacterial small subunit ribosomal RNA
Source: RNAcentral
UUCGGGAGGCAGCAGUGGGGAAUAUUGCACAAUGGGCGCAAGCCUGAUGCAGCCAUGCCGCGUGUAUGAAGAAGGCCUUCGGGUUGUAAAGUACUUUCAGUCGUGAGGAAGGUGUUAAGGUUAAUAACCUUAGCAAUUGACGUUAGCGACAGAAGAAGCACCGGCUAACUCCGUGCCAGCAGCCGCGGUAAUACGGAGGGUGCGAGCGUUAAUCGGAAUUACUGGGCGUAAAGGGCACGCAGGCGGUUAAUUAAGUUGGAUGUGAAAUCCCCGGGCUUAACCUGGGAAUGGCAUUCAAGACUGGUUAGCUAGAGUCUUGUAGAGGGGGUAGAAUUCCAUGUGUAGCGGUGAAAUGCGUAGAGAUGUGGAGGAAUACCGGUGGCGAAGGCGGCCCCUGGACAAAGACUGACGCUCAUGUGCGAAAGCGUGGGGAGCAAACAGGGAUUAGAUACC